CGGCGGACGGGUGAGUAACACGUGGAUAACCUACCUAUAAGACUGGAUAACUUCGGGAAACCGGAGCUAAUACCGGAUAAUAUAUUGAACCGCAUGGUUCAAUAGUGAAAGACGGUUUUGCUGUCACUUAUAGAUGGAUCCGCGCCGCAUUAGCUAGUUGGUAAGGUAACGGCUUACCAAGGCAACGAUGCGUAGCCGACCUGAGAGGGUGAUCGGCCACACUGGAACUGAGACACGGUCCAGACUCCUACGGGAGGCAGCAGGC
This 265-nucleotide ribosomal RNA is filed under the name uncultured Staphylococcus sp. RNAcentral's name for it is "partial 16S ribosomal RNA". It matches the Rfam family "Bacterial small subunit ribosomal RNA", at positions 96 to 354 of the family's 1533-position model. Lineage: Bacteria; Bacillati; Bacillota; Bacilli; Caryophanales; Staphylococcaceae. The record is from RNAcentral.